Danio aesculapii is the source of this 241-nucleotide long non-coding RNA. RefSeq lists it as uncharacterized. NCBI's taxonomy places the organism in Eukaryota, Metazoa, Chordata, Actinopteri, Cypriniformes, Danionidae. The record is from RefSeq and is a predicted model, not a curated record. The transcript has 3 exons.
CUGCACUGUGAUUCAACUGGAGAAAGGAUAAAGUGUCCAAACACAGAGAAAAACUCCUGCUGAAGCGACUGAUCUCCACACUGUUAUAAAGAUGGUGUUUAUUAAAGAGGAGAGUGAAGAUGUGAAGAUUGAAGAAACAUUCAGAGUCAAACAUGAAGAUCUGCAGGAACAAACAGACCUAAUUGAAGAGAAUGAGGGGAGUAAAGAGGAGGAACAUCAUGUCAAAAUUGAGGAAAAAACU